CCCGUGUUGUGUGAGCUCAAGGACAGCUAACUCCUGUUAAGAUGAGAAGUAUGGCAAUCUGUCACCCCAAGGUUAUGGAAGGGGAAAGGGAGAAGAUAAAGCGGGAAAAAAACAUUGUCAGAUUUAAAAUAAGCCACUGGGUUAUGUUCAGUAUGAAAUGGAUCCCUGAUACAUUUAAGUUAAGCCACAAGGUUAUGUUCACAGCAUGAAGUGGACCCCGAUACAUUUCCCAUUGUCAAUUUCUACCUCCCAUUUCUGUGGAGAAAUGGGCUACAACAUCCCUAAGCUGUUUGCUCCUGAAGCUGGGUGAUGAAUGGGGUCUUAGAAUGGAGUGUCAUUUUCCUUUUGGGGACUUUCCCUGGAGCAGAUGAAGAGGUGACUUGAACCUUAAUGGGGACCUGGAGAAAGCCCACUCACUACAGCAAUUAAUAAAUAUUUGACUGAUUGUCAUAAUGCUCUUUUAGUCUAGGUCUCUUUGUGAGAGCCAUGUUUUGCCCUUCCACAGGAUACCAGCAAGGUCUCUAACAUAGUAUUUCUGGGCUUGAUUUAAAUCAAGAGCAGUUGGCAACCCCAUAUCCCAUUGCAGGUGGGUUCUUGGCAUAUAUUAGCCACAGUGUUUUUAAAGGUGUGAUUUACCUUCUCUGUUUUCCAUGUAGAUUGGGGUCUCCAGGAUGCGUGUAACUUUCAUUGGCCAUCCAAUGUUUGUUCCCUUGUUAAGUCAGUUCUGCAGUGAGAUUGUCCAUCAUCACGUCAGGAUCAAUUCCUUCAAAAGUACUCUAGACAUUUCUAAAGACUUUUCUGUUCUGGAAGAGUCAACCUUGACCCACCUAGAGAAGGUAUCUAUCUACCAGUACAUCAGAUAUCUGACAUUUCCCAUGGUACUCCGUACCUGGGCAGGCUCUACCUGUCAGUCUACAAAAGCCUGAGUUAUUUCAUGUCCUG
Molecule: long non-coding RNA, 942 nt
Filed under: Marmota monax (woodchuck)
Lineage: Eukaryota; Metazoa; Chordata; Mammalia; Rodentia; Sciuridae
Source: RNAcentral